GACGAACGCUGGCGGCGUGCUUAACACAUGCAAGUCGAACGGAAAGGCCCUGCUUUUGUGGGGUGCUCGAGUGGCGAACGGGUGAGUAACACGUGAGUAACCUGCCCUUGACUUUGGGAUAACUUCAGGAAACUGGGGCUAAUACCGGAUAGGAGCUCCUGCUGCAUGGGGGGGGUUGGAAAGUUUCGGCGGUUGUGGAUGGACUCGCGGCUUAUCAGCUUGUUGGUGGGGUAGUGGCUUACCAAGGCUUUGACGGGUAGCCGGCCUGAGAGGGUGACCGGCCACAUUGGGACUGCGAUACGGCCCAGACUCCUACGGGAGGCAGCAGUGGGGAAUAUUGCACAAUGGGCGGAAGCCUGAUGCAGCAACGCCGCGUGCGGGAUGCCGGCCUUCGGGUUGUAAACCGCUUUCGCCUGUGACGAAGCGUGAGUGACGGUAAUGGGUAAAGAAGCACCGGCUAACUACGUG
RNAcentral lists this ribosomal RNA (468 nucleotides) under uncultured bacterium. Its description in RNAcentral is "partial 16S ribosomal RNA". It matches the Rfam family "Bacterial small subunit ribosomal RNA", at positions 28 to 507 of the family's 1533-position model. The record is from RNAcentral.